Molecule: non-coding RNA, 3790 nt
Organism: Marmota flaviventris (yellow-bellied marmot)
Lineage: Eukaryota; Metazoa; Chordata; Mammalia; Rodentia; Sciuridae
Source: RefSeq, a predicted model, not a curated record
AGCCAGGCCGUGCCUUCUGGGUGACUCACUCCAAGAUCCAUCCCCUGGGGUGCUGGCCAAAUGGCUCUCAGCAGCCACCAAAACAAAGCCUCCUUUUCCAACAUUGACCAAUGCCUGCCAUGGCUGAUUUCCAGCCUCCAGUGAUUGAAGAACCAGCUCACAGACUGCCAGCCUGUUUCCCCAUCCGCUCUCGUGAGCUGCACGCCCGGGUUAAUUCCGCCUGAGCCAAGCCCUGCUGUCUUUCUCUCAGACAUCUGGUGACCAGACGUGGAGAGCACCUGCAGGAUUCCUCAGCUUCUUCUCUGGGGGAAUGUGGAGAGAAACCUGGAGGAGAGUGAUGGAAGCCCAGGCUGGAGUCGUCUCCGCAUCCUCCAUCGUGAGAGCAGACUGAUGGCUGCCAAGGAAAACACCCCCUCGCCUGGCCUGCGAGCUGCGUCCGUGUCCCUCGACAGCCAGCCAUGCUGGGGAUCGGCGUCUCCUCCUAACCCAUGCCUGUUUUCUUUGGAUCUCCCUCAGAACCCCAAUUCCAGGCCUUGGGCCUCCCCGUGAAAGCCCCUGAUUUCCAUGGCCUCUUGGAUGGACCUCUUGUGUCCCAAGGGCAAAGACCACAUUCAGCUUCUUGGCCGCCUGUCUGUGGUCCAUGCCGUGGCAGCCUCGUGGGGCGCCAUUAGGACAGAUUAGGAAGAGGCAGCUGGUGUGUGGAGGGAGCAGAGGGUAUGAUUUUGGAAUUGGCAGGACCUAAUUUCAAACCCUGGCUCUAUGUUGCACUGGGGGUGACCUUGGGCAAAGGCUGGCUCCCAGAUGUCAGGCUCAGCGCAAUUCCUGGGGGACCCCUGCAGGCGCAGACUCACCCCUGCUGUCCAGGGGCCCAGAUGAAGCGCUGCUGAGGUGCCGCCGGAGCAGGACCAAGUUGGGGCUUGAACCCGCUGGGCGUGCCUGGUCCCUACUCCAGGCUGGAAGCGCUGGGGAGCUGGAGCCCCAGCCUCUGCAGCCCAGCGCAUGGUGUUGGAGAGCUGGGGCCCGAGACUUGGCUUUGCGAGGCUGCACGUGCCCCUGGAGCUGGCCUUACCUGGGGCUUCAGCUUGGCACUCGGAGGUGAAGGUGGUGAAGGUGAGGAUGUGCGUUCAUCGGUGCCGCGACUGAGUCACCCCGGCUGGGACAGGACUAGGGGAUGAAGGAGCCAUCAUAACCUGGAAGUGAUCUUCAGGGAUAGAGAGGCAACAUCUCAAGCCACCCACUGUCUGCUUAAGGGGAAAGAAGAGAGAAGAGGCAGAUGACAAAGAGUUUUUUUCCUUUCAAUAUAAUGCUGAUUAAAUUUCAGUGACCUGCUAGCGGAUCGAGGAGUUUUCACACUCUGACCUGGAACCUGAGCUCCCCAUUGUGGAAACAGCUGUGUUCCCACUUCCACUUCCCUCAGUCCCCGCUCGAGGACAAGAAGCUGCCACAAGGGUCUCACUAAAUGCUAAGCCUGGCCUGGAACUUGAGAGCCUCCUGCCUCUGCCUCUGCCUCUGGAGUCCCUGGGAUUAAAGCUGGGCACCACCACAACUGGCUAACGCCCUGCACUCUUGACCAAGCUUGACGUGGACUGCACAUCGACUCACAAGAGUUUGAGGCCUGUAGGCACUAGUGACGGCAUUUUAAAAGCCACCUCCUGGUUUUAAAAUGAACAGAGGCGAUGUUCCAUGCACAGUGACAACUAUUUUGGCUGAUGUGUGUGACUCAGAUCACUGAAGGACAGUGUGACGAGUGACUCAGACGAGACACUACCUCUUUGACCAUGUUUCUCACGGACAAUCUGCUGGGAGGGGAGCAGCUGCCAUCUCUUGAGGACACUCCAGCUGCCCGCGUGGAGAGGUCCACCUGUGAAGAACUGGAGCCCCUGCCAACAUCCAGGAAGAGCCAGGCUGGAGGGGCUUCUCCUGGCCCGGCCAGCCUUCAGGGGAUUGCUGUGACCCAAAGAGACACCUGGGUCUAGAAACACCCAGCAAAGUCCCUCCCGCAGUCCUAACUCUGUGAGACAAACCUUUAUUGUUGUUGAGGCUUCCAAGCUUCGGAGUAAUCUGACACAGCAAUGGACAGAAAAUAGUCCCCGCCGUCUCCUUAUGCCACUCCUCCUUGGCGUGUGCCAGGAUUCCCGAGACUAUGGUCUUCUCCUGAGGUCCCUUCACUGACUUGUAUGAGGCUGUUUCUUCUCUUGUCAGUCUCUUUUGGGUAAGGAUGAGCUCCUGAGGCCAGCAUCUGGCUCGUCCUUGGGACCUUCCUGUUUAUUCAGGGGCGUGGUUGACAGUAGCAGCCAGCACUGACGUGGUUCUGGCUCAGGCCAGGCACAUUCUCAGACUUUACACACUUCUUCCCACACACAUCUGUGAGGUAGGCCCUGCCAUCUAUGAAACUGAGGCACAGAGGAGUCCAGUCACGUGUCUCAGGACACACAGUGAGCAAGGAGCAGGGCUGGUGACCUCCAGCAGCUGGGCUCCAGAGUUCCUGCUGUGGUCACCCUCUGCCGACUGAUCCCAACAGUGUUUCUUGUUAAGGGAAUAAAAGAUGUCAGGCAGGUGAGGGGCUUAAGAGCUGAGAAAAAAGAUUUAUCAGAAGAAGAAAAGUAAAUCAGGGAAGGGACACAUGGACAAGCUGGACACAUGGACAAGCUGAAGUCUCAGAGAAACAGGGGCUUCAUCCUGCCUAGAAGAAUAAUUUCAGAGUCAGCUUUAUCUUACUGUAACAAAACCUGAGACAAUCAACUUAUCAAGAAAAAAGGUUUAUUUUGGGCUUAUGGUUUUGGAGGCUUUAGUCCAUGAAUGGCUGGUCCUGAGGCUUUGGGCCUGCGGUGGCACCUCAAGGCAGAGCAAAACCAUUUACCUCACAGUGGGAAGCAAAAAAAAGGAAGUCCCCUUCAAAGGCACGCCCCCAAUGACCUGAAGACCUCUCUCUAGGUCCCGCCUCUUAAAGGCUCUACCUCCUCCCAACAGUGCCUCUCUGGGGAAAAGACUUUAGCACAUGGGCCGUUAUAGAACCUUCCAGAUCCAAACAAUAGCAUUUUCCAAAUCAGUUGGGAUUUUAUCUCUAGGAAAUACAGAUAAGGUAGAUCUUUGGAUUGGGAAGUCAGGAAAGUAUGAGAUAAAAUAGAAAUGACCUGAAGGAAAUCUUUCUGUCCACCUAAGUCUGGCCACAAAGCUGCUGGUGGGUCAGCCUGCCCAGCACUCCCUUAUGGGGCUUUCACCUCUGUGUGUCCAUCAACUUGGAGAUGGCCAAGUGUGUGCAUGGAGGGUGUCUCAGGGCGCCCCCUGGUGCUCGUUGAGGACAUCUCAGGACGCCCUUCUGCCGUGGUCCUGGUAAUGGCAGGCAGCAGGGGUGGCGCCCAGGGCACAGGGUGAACCUCAGAUCUGCAGUGUCAGCAGAGGAGUUCACAAGGAGGACAGAAAAGCCACCGCGGGCUCAGUAAGGUCAAAGACAGCCAGCUGCUUGCAGAGUCUGAGUUCUUCCGGGAUUUGGUGGCUUUAUAGUCACCUCUUAGAACAUUUGGGAGAGGCAUCUGAGUAAAGAGAUGCCUCACCACUGUGGCAGGCACCGUCCAUCUGAGGAGGCCCAAACAGGACAAAGGACAGAGGGGGAGCAAACGCUCCCUCUGCUUCAGCUGUGACAGUGGCCUUUUACCCAAAGGCCUUGGGGCUUGACACGAGUCACAUCACCAGCCUUCCUGGUCUCAGCUUGCAGACUACAGCUGGUGACAUCUCUGUCCCCAUAACCGUGUGGGCCAGUUCCCAUAAUAAAUCCCUUCUGAUCCAUGGA